This 72-nucleotide transfer RNA is filed under the name Camelus bactrianus (Bactrian camel). It matches the Rfam family "tRNA". Rfam says of the family: Transfer RNA (tRNA) molecules are approximately 80 nucleotides in length. Their secondary structure includes four short double-helical elements and three loops (D, anti-codon, and T loops). Further hydrogen bonds mediate the characteristic L-shaped molecular structure. tRNAs have two regions of fundamental functional importance: the anti-codon, which is responsible for specific mRNA codon recognition, and the 3' end, to which the tRNAs corresponding amino acid is attached (by aminoacyl-tRNA synthetases). tRNAs cope with the degeneracy of the genetic code in two manners: having more than one tRNA (with a specific anti-codon) for a particular amino acid; and 'wobble' base-pairing, i.e. permitting non-standard base-pairing at the 3rd anti-codon position. RNAcentral also lists the same sequence under 1 other name. The record is from Rfam by way of RNAcentral. Lineage: Eukaryota; Metazoa; Chordata; Mammalia; Artiodactyla; Camelidae.
CGUAGUAUAUCUCAGUGGUAAAAUGCAUGCUUAGCAUGCAUGAGGUCCUGGGUUCAAUCCCCAGUAUCUCCA